RNAcentral lists this ribosomal RNA (431 nucleotides) under uncultured bacterium. RNAcentral describes it as "bacterial SSU rRNA". It matches the Rfam family "Bacterial small subunit ribosomal RNA", at positions 29 to 507 of the family's 1533-position model. The record is from RNAcentral.
AACGAACGCUGGCGGCAUGCCUAACACAUGCAAGUCGAACGCACCUUCGGGUGAGUGGCGGACGGGUGAGUAACGCGUGGGAACCUGCCUUUCAGUACGGAAUAACCAAGGGAAACUCUGGCUAAUACCGUAUACGUCCUUCGGGAGAAAGAUUUAUCGCUGAAAGAUGGGCCCGCGUACGAUUAGCUUGUUGGUGAGGUAAUGGCUCACCAAGGCGACGAUCGUUAGCUGGUCUUAGAGGAUGAUCAGCCACACUGGGACUGAGACACGGCCCAGACUCCUACGGGAGGCAGCAGUGGGGAAUAUUGGACAAUGGGCGAAAGCCUGAUCCAGCAAUGCCGCGUGAGUGAUGAAGGCCUUAGGGUUGUAAAGCUCUUUUACCAGGGAAGAUGAUGACUGUACCGCAAGAAUAAGCCCCGGCUAACUUCGUG